GUUUGGUUUUAGCUCUUCUUUUACGCUUUCUUCUUCUGCUUCUUUCAUCUUCAGCUUCACUUUCAGACGAGGUUUCUGAAGGGUCUGAUCCACUGGAGGAGGAGUCUGAAGCUUCGGAGUCAGAACAGACUUUCUUCUUCUUCUCCAAAGCGUCUUUUGCAGGUUUUGUAACAAGCACCCCACAGUCAAUAACUCGUACAUCUGCAUAGGGUCUACUGGCAGUAUCAGUUUUCAGAUUUUCUAUUUGUUCUAUUACUUCAAAACCAGAAAUAACCAGUCCAAAGACAACGUGUACGCCAUCAAGAUGAGGAGCGGGUUUUGUUGUUAUGAAAAAUUGGGAACCAUUGGUAUGUUUCCCUCGGUUUGCCAUUGACAAAAGGAACGCUCUGUCAUGUUUGAGAAUAAAGUUUUCAUCUUUAAAAUAGCCACCAUAAAUAGAUUCACCUCCUUUUCCAUUACCUUCACUGAAGUCCCCACCCUGAAUCAUGAAGUUUUUAACCACGCGAUGGAACGUAGUGCCUUUGUAGCACAACUUCUUCCCAGUUGUUUUGCCAAUUCCUUUUUCACCCGAGCACAAGCAAAGGAAGUUUUUGCAAGUCUUUGGACAUAUGUCUGAGAAGAGCUGAAACAUAAUUCGACCAACUGGCUCGCGGUUGAUCUCGAUGUCGAAGAAGCACUGCGGUCGGUCCUGCACGCCCAUGGCCGCGCGGCCCCGCGGCGCCCGGCUCAGCACCUGGCAGCUCGUGCGCUUUGUCCCCGCUCCACGCCGCGCC
Molecule: long non-coding RNA, 773 nt
Filed under: Gallus gallus (chicken)
Lineage: Eukaryota; Metazoa; Chordata; Aves; Galliformes; Phasianidae
Source: RNAcentral